UAGAUACCCUAUUAUUUGAAAUGUAUUUAUUUUACUAAAGUAGUAAUAGUUAUGUUCUUGAAACUUAAAAAAUUUGGCGGUAUUUUAGUCUAUUCAGAGGAACCUGUCCUAUAAUCGAUAAUCCACGUUGGACCUUACUUAAAUUUGUUUUCAGUAUGUAUACCGUCGUUAUAAGAAUAUUUUAUAAGAAUAAUAAUUUUCUAGAUUUUUUAUAAAAAUUUAUAUCAGAUCAAGGUGCAGCUUAUAUUUAAGUAGAGAUGGGUUACAAUAAUUUUAUUUAUACGGAUUAAUUUAUGAAAAAAAUUAUGAAGGUGGAUUUGAAUGUAAAAUUAUAAAGAUAAAUAAUUUGAUUUUAGCU
Molecule: ribosomal RNA, 358 nt
Filed under: Themira biloba
Lineage: Eukaryota; Metazoa; Arthropoda; Insecta; Diptera; Sepsidae
Description: partial 12S ribosomal RNA
Source: RNAcentral